This is a non-coding RNA of Edwardsiella ictaluri 93-146, 111 nucleotides long. NCBI's taxonomy places the organism in Bacteria, Pseudomonadati, Pseudomonadota, Gammaproteobacteria, Enterobacterales, Hafniaceae. The record is from Rfam.
UUGCAACGGCACCAUUUGAGUAUCCUGAAAACGGGCUUUUCAGAGUAGUGUCGUCGUAUAUUAAUCUAGGAGUGCAUAGUGGCCCGUAUAGCAGGCAUUAACAUUCCUGAU